Molecule: long non-coding RNA, 2482 nt
Filed under: Mus musculus (house mouse)
Lineage: Eukaryota; Metazoa; Chordata; Mammalia; Rodentia; Muridae
Description: long non-coding RNA chr15:93847806-93850288
Source: RNAcentral
UCAAACUCAGAAAUCCACCUGCCUCUGCCUCCUGAGUGCUGGGAUUAAAGACGUGUACCACCAUGCCUGGCUGACAUUUUUCACAGAAAUACCUUGUAGUGGUUUGAAUAUUUAUGGCCUAGGGAGUGACACUAUUAGGAGGUGUGGUCUUGUUGGAGUAGGUGUGGCCUUGUUGGAGGAAGUGUGUCACUGUGGGGUUGGGCUUUGAGACCCUCCUCCUAAUCACAUGGGAGACAGUUUUCUUCUAGUGGCCUUCAGAUGAAGAUGUAGAACUCUCAGCUCCUCCUGCACUAUGCUUGCCUGAAUGCUGCCAUGUUCUUGCCAUGAUGAUAAUGGACUGAACCUCUGAACCUGUAAGCCAGCUCCAAUUAAAUGUUUUCCUUAUAAGACUUGGCUUGGUCAUAAUGUCUAUUCACAGCAGUAAAACCCUGACUAAGACAUACCUAUGGAGAUAUGUUUCACUAAACUCCAGGUGAAGCUAAAUCCUUGGCAGAGAAGUUUAACUAUCAUAGAAACAGAUCUUUUCGCCUCAGCUGUUUCAACCAACACCAUGUGGACCAGGGAUGAGCCACCUACUUGAACCCACCCUGAGCACAUGCCCAACAUGAUCAAGAAUGAAAUCAAACAAGCAUUAUUAGGCAAUAUGAGAAUCAGUUCAGGAUGGCACAGAAAUGAAUACCUGAGAUCAGGUCUUUUGAGACACAGGUCACAUAAUUUCCCUUACAGUGGAACCUGUCCUGUUCGGAGGGGAGGCAGUGUUCAUCUUUCCCUAACUUUUAACGGAGCAUUUCUCAACCUAUGGUUUGCAACCCCCUUGGGGGUAGCUUAUCAGAUAUCCUGCGUAUCAAAUAUUUAUAUUACACUAAAUAACAGUAGUAAAAUUACAGUUAUGAAGUAGCAAUGAAAAUAGUUUUAUGGCUGGGGGUCACCACAACAUGACGAGCUCAGUUAAAGGGUUGCAACAUAAGGGAGACCGAGAGCCAUGCUCUAAAGCCUCAUGCUUAAAGCAAGCAAAAUUGUUUUUAUUGCAUAUCUCCUAUGGUGGGUGAUUUAGAUACAUUUUCUCCCCCCCUCCCUUUUUUUUUUCAAAAUGAAUUUAUAAAGAAGCCCGUCUUGUUAUUUUCUUAAGAACGAUGAGAUUUAGAAUUGCCUCUGAUGAAGAGAGGUGGUGAUCUGGGGACUGGGUGGAGCCCAGGCUAAUUGGGCUGUUGACACAGCAGUGCCUGGUGAACAUUCUAGACUUGGUCUUCCAAGACUGUGACUGACUUGCCUAUGAAUCUAGUUCCCGGGGUCCACUGUCAAAGCAUGGUUUCUGUUCACUGUGGUGUUCCCCACUGUCUGGAGAUGUCUGUCCCGGGUUCAGUAAAUUUUCAUUGAACUCCCUUGUAGAAUAAUUUCUAAGAAACUAAACAUAAAGUCCCAUUCUUGGGGAGUUGCUUCCUACUGAUACUACCUAGCCUCAGAAGCCCUCUGAAAUAUAGGUUUUUGCAACCCCUACUUCCACUGUCCUGAGAACGUUGGCCAUGGCAACCAUUAGAUAAUUUGGCCGAUGCCUGGUCUGAUUGCACAGGAUCACACACAGACAGUGCAUCGCCAGGAUACCAGGGGCUAAUGCUAUGAUCGGCAGUUACUUUGAGACAGGACCUUCCUAAAUAAAAGAGCUGUGUAUACAAUAUACACACAGUAAACGUCCUCACCUCUGCAGAGGACAUCCUUCCUGCUUUUGCUGCUGACGCUCAAGAAUGAAGCACACAGGGCCAGCCCCGACUUAAAAGGAAGCAGACCAUAAGCCCCUUAGAUAAUACGGCUGACGAGGUAGAGAUAAGAUGUGUCAGAGGUAGAUUUUCCAAUCUCCUGGUGCUCUCAGCCAUAUUGAUUGUGGACAGUAAUUUCCCCUGGAUCCUCCCAGCCCUGCUGUUCCUGACACUGUAUUGACUUUUUGACACUGUUAACCAGACUCAUCACUCCAUUAGCAUUUGCCUACAAGAGUCAGUGAAAACAUCAGAGAAAACAGUGCAGUCCGACGCCUCAUGAAAGCAGAGCUGGAGGAAGGAUUUCUAAGUUGAACAAAGCAAAAGCAAAAAAAUAAAAAUAAAAAAAAAAUGUCAGGGUAGAUUUCAGGCCUGCAGACGGUCUGGGAUUAACACAAAGCACAUCUUUCUCACCAGAAGGUUUCCAUGGAGCAACAGCCAAAAUGAGGAGAUGAUGGAGGUGUGACAGGCUGCUGAGGUGUUAGGGUAAAGAUGCUACCUCCAUGUGUAGUUAGAGACACUUGACUCCCAUGAAGAAGACAUGAGAUUCGCCUGAACUGGACUUAGAGACAAUCAUGUGCCACCAGAGGAGGGUGGUGGAAACUGAACUUGGGGAAUUUUCCCCAAGAGUGGCAUAGCUGUCUUAGCCACCGAGCUAUCGCUCCCACCCCGAUAGAUAGAUUUUGGACCAUCUUUCUGUAUCAUUCACUGAGAUGCCAUGGUUUGACUUU